Non-coding RNA from Ictidomys tridecemlineatus (thirteen-lined ground squirrel), 69 nucleotides. The record is from Rfam. NCBI's taxonomy places the organism in Eukaryota, Metazoa, Chordata, Mammalia, Rodentia, Sciuridae.
GGGGCUAUAGCUCAGUGGUAGAGCACUUGCCUAGCAUGUAUGAAGCACUGGGUCCAAUCCUUAGCACCA